GCGGGAGUAGCUCAGUGGUAGAGCACAACCUUGCCAAGGUUGGGGUCGCGGGUUCGAAUCCCGUCUCCCGCUCCA
RNAcentral lists this transfer RNA (75 nucleotides) under bacterium. Its description in RNAcentral is "tRNA-Gly". It matches the Rfam family "tRNA". Rfam says of the family: Transfer RNA (tRNA) molecules are approximately 80 nucleotides in length. Their secondary structure includes four short double-helical elements and three loops (D, anti-codon, and T loops). The record is from RNAcentral. RNAcentral also lists the same sequence under 8 other names.